CGCGGCUCUGUUUUAUUUUUGCUCUGAGCCUUUCUCGGCGACCCUAGCGGGCGUCUCGAAAAUGAAUCAAAACUUUCAACAACGGAUCUCUUGGUUCUGGCAUCGAUGAAGAACGCAGCGAAAUGCGAUAAGUAAUGUGAAUUGCAGAAUUCAGUGAAUCAUCGAAUCUUUGAACGCACAUUGCGCCCGCCAGUAUUCUGGCGGGCAUGCCUGUCCGAGCGUCAUUUCAACCCUCGAACCCCUCCGGGGGGUCGGCGUUGGGGAUCGGCCCCUCACCGGGCCGCCCCCGAAAUACAGUGGCGGUCUCGCCGCAGCCUCUCCUGCGCAGUAGUUUGCACACUCGCACCGGGAGCGCGGCGCGGCCACAGCCGUAAAACACCCCAAACUCUGAAAUGUUGACCUCGGAUCAGGUAGGAAUACCCGCUGAACUUAAGCAUAUC
This 440-nucleotide ribosomal RNA is filed under the name Trichoderma citrinoviride. Its description in RNAcentral is "eukaryotic LSU rRNA". The stretch from base 71 to 224 matches the Rfam family "5.8S ribosomal RNA". Lineage: Eukaryota; Fungi; Ascomycota; Sordariomycetes; Hypocreales; Hypocreaceae. The record is from RNAcentral.